Molecule: ribosomal RNA, 460 nt
Filed under: uncultured bacterium
Lineage: Bacteria
Description: partial 16S ribosomal RNA
Rfam family: Bacterial small subunit ribosomal RNA
Source: RNAcentral
CCUACGGGUGGCAGCAGUGAGGAAUAUUGGUCAAUGGACGCAAGUCUGAACCAGCCAAGCCGCGUGCAGGAUGACGGCCCUACGAGUUGUAAACUUCUUUUGUACGGGGGUAAACUCAGACACGUGUACCUGUCUGAAAGUACUUUACGAAUAAGGAUCGGCUAACUCCGUGCCAGCAGCCGCGGUAAUACGGAGGAUUCAAGCGUUAUCCGGAUUUAUUGGGUUUAAAGGGUGCGUAGGUGGGUGGGUAAGUUAGUGGGGAAAUCCCGCGGCUCAACGUCGGAAUUGCAUUUGAUACUGGCCGGCUAGAGAGUAGGUGAGGUAGGCGGAAUGUGUGGUGUAGCGGUGAAAUGCUUAGAGAUCACACAGAACACCGAUUGCGAAGGCAGCUUACCAAGCUACUUCUGACGUUGAGGCACGAAAGCGUGGGGAGCAAACAGGAUUAGAUACCCGGGUAGUC